This 253-nucleotide ribosomal RNA is filed under the name uncultured bacterium. RNAcentral's name for it is "partial 16S ribosomal RNA". It matches the Rfam family "Bacterial small subunit ribosomal RNA", at positions 524 to 776 of the family's 1533-position model. The record is from RNAcentral.
UACGUAGGUGGCAAGCGCUGUCCGGAUUUACUGGGCGUAAAGAGCGCGCAGGCGGUCGUGCAAGUCGCGUGUGAAAGCCCCCGGCUCAACUGGGGAGGGUCACGCGAUACUGCUCGACUCGAAGGCAGGAGAGGGAAGUGGAAUUCCCGGUGUAGCGGUGAAAUGCGCAGAUAUCGGGAGGAACACCUGUGGCGAAGGCGACCCCCUGGUUGGAUACUGACGCUGAGACGCGAAAGCGUGGGGAGCAAACAGG